Long non-coding RNA from Rattus rattus (black rat), 2640 nucleotides. RefSeq lists it as uncharacterized. The record is from RefSeq and is a predicted model, not a curated record. The transcript has 3 exons. NCBI's taxonomy places the organism in Eukaryota, Metazoa, Chordata, Mammalia, Rodentia, Muridae.
CCGGCCCCCGACAGCAAGCUGUCCGCUCCGCCGCGAGGGAGAGCGCAAACCCCGGCUGCUCCCGCCCCGCCCUCGGGUCCUGCGCGCCGCUCUCCUCGGGGGGCGCGCUCCGCGUGAGGCAGACGCGCGCGACCCCGGAGGGCGGGCCCGGCCCCAGGUGUGCCGCUGGGGACGCGCGCGGGUGCAGAUGGCUGGCACACCCCGCCUCCUCAUCCCCAGCCCUCUGCGACCCUCUGGCUUGCACACUGGGGCAGAUGGGUUAAUGCAAAAUGCAGAUGGAUCCCCAGAGAACCGGGUGCUGGGCGGGGGAGAGAGGUGCUGCUGAGGCAUUUGCCUGUCCUCAAAUCAACCUUUAACUUUAGCGGGGCUGGAGAAAGGGGUGUGUGCUUUGGGCUUCCCUAAAGGUUACCUGUCAGUUGUUCAAAGAGCAAGAGCCUCGAGUUAAUGAACCCUUGUUACUGUUCUUAAGAACUGCUGGAAAUAGUUUCUCGGAGGAUCACUCUUCAAUAAGGAGGUACCUUUUGCUAAUUUUACUUAUAGCUUAAAGAAAUACUGAAGACGGGACGAGUCCCUUGUUUUUUGAACCUUUACUAUCAAAGUGUGGUGGGUUUGCAAAGAAAUGUUCGCAUGACUUUUUCUUUGGCAGUGGUAGGGAUUGAAUCUCUAAUGACCCUGGAACUAUGUUUUACAGUUAAAUUAAUGUUAUGACUAGAAGGUUGAGUUCAUCUACAAACCUCUAUCUUAUCCAAUAUAUUUUCACCUUUUGAUUGAAAAUGUUCUGGGCACUGCUUUAAACAGGUGAAGAAGAUAAUCUGUUUUCAGUUAGAGUUAACCUUUUUAUUCUUUUCUUUUGCAGAUAGGAAGUGCAGAGACUCCCAUUCAUGGCUCUCCAUUCUGUUUCCUGCAACAGCACACACACUCUGGUGUCUCACCUGUUUGGAAAUGGCUUAGUGUGUUUGAUAUGUUUAUGUAUUUAUUUUUCCUUUCUUUUUUCUGUACUGGAGAUUGAACCUAGAGCCUCCUGCAUGCUGGGCAAGCAUUCUGCCAUCUAGCUACACAUCCCCAGCCUUCUCCAGAUUUUCUUUAUUUUUGAGACACGGUGUGGGUUAAGUUGUCCAUGUUUGCCUUGAACUUGCAAUCAUCCUGACUCAGCCUCUUCCAAGUACUGAUACAACAGGCAUUUCCCAUCAUACCCCAAUAUCCAGGCUUAUGCUUCACUCUUAAAUUCCUUGACUUCUUGUCAAGACACAGGAAUUUGUUUCUACCUGGAAACAGCUAUGUAAAAUUUAUAUUGGAAUAUGGCAGGGGUGGGGGAUUGGGGAGGAUGUUAUGUUGGCCACCUGUUUGGUUGCUCAGUGUACUUUGUUAGUCUUCAGGGUCCUUGAUUUUAUUUAUUUAUCGACUGACUUUGGGUUCGUGCUUUUGUUAGUACUUUCGUUUUCAUAGUUAGAAAGCUGAAUCAAUUGCUUUCUACUGGUGUUUUUAAUAGAAAGAGAGACACUCUAAUGUGUAUGCUAUUGAAUCAAACAGAAGAAGAGGCCAGUGAUUGUGAGAAUCUGAAUUUCAAAUCUGCAAAAGAAAGGUGCAAAAAGAGACCAUGAACGUAUGGUGCAAUAGCCCUACUUUUGGUGGGAAAAAUAUACAGCCAUUCUGGUGGAGCAAGAUGGGGUCUCCUCAUGAGGUCUCAUGGCCAGUGGUAUCCUUGAAUUUACUCUAUUAGAGAUGGCCUUGAACUGAUCCCUCUGCCUCCAUUUCCUAAGUGCUGUUACAGGCAUACACCAACAUACUUGAUAUUUGCUGUGCUGAGGAAGAAGCCCAGGGCUUUGUGCAUGCUAGGUAAGCACUGUCACUGAGUACAUUCUCAGCUCUUGUUCUGUUCUUUGACACCAAGUCUCCUACUUACAGGCAAGGCUUGCUUGGAAUUCACUACUUAGAUUAGAUUGAAGCAGUCCUGCUUCAGAUUCCUCAGUACUAAUUGAGCCACCAACCUGGCUUCAAAUUAAUUGUUUUUUAAUGUAAAAAUUGCAUACAGAGUUUAGGAUCUUAGCCAUUGGGUGUGUAGUUGAGUGAUGUUAAACAUGUUUACCUUGUUGGAGCAUUACUCCCGUCUUGCAAAUUAAAACUGGCUAGACAACAGAUACCCUGUUUUCCUUCCCCAGAACCUGCCUGGCAACCACUAUGUCUACUCUGCUUCUGCUUGUUUUUUAUUUAAGUAGAGUAAUCCCCUCUAUCUAUGGGGGAUAGUUUUCAAGUUCUCCAAUUAUCUUAGGUACUUCUCAAAGACACACCUAAUAAGCCUUUAUGGGCCAUCCUCAUUCAAACUAUUGCAUUCCACUCCUAGCCCUCAUAGGCUUUUGUAGCCAGUUACAUCCUAAUGCUCAAAUGCACUCAGUCCAACUUUGAAAGUUCCUGUAGUCUAUUACAAUCUCAGCACUGUUUAAAAGUCCAAAAUCUUUAUUGAGACUCAUGACAAUCUCUUUAGCUCUAAUCUCCUGUAAGAUCAAAGUCAAAAGGUGCAUCACAUACUUCCAACAUACAGUGCCAUGGAAUAUAAAGGACCAUUUCAAAAGAGAGGAAAGGGAGCAAUGGACCCAACGAGACCAAAACCCAGCAGGGCAAACUCCACAAAUUUUACAUCUG